CCAAAACAAUGGCCGAAAGGCCUUGCCCUAGGGGGGGAGACCCCCCGACGGUAAACCCUUUGUGAAAACCCUCCUGUUUGCCUCGGCGGCACCCUUUGAUUAGGGGUCAGCCCGCCGACGGCACCAAACAAAACUCUUUUGAAUUGAAGAAUCAGUCUGAAUCAAUGGUCGAAUGACUAUA
This 181-nucleotide unclassified non-coding RNA is filed under the name uncultured Orbiliales. Its description in RNAcentral is "sequence contains ITS1". Lineage: Eukaryota; Fungi; Ascomycota; Orbiliomycetes; Orbiliales. The record is from RNAcentral.